UAGUAUAUUUCGUAUUUUCAUCUGAUAUCUCUGUAUGUUCGCCUACCUGAUGAUAUCUAGGAAGUUUCUCGUUUCAACUGAUAUCUCGGCAUUUUCAAUUUACUUCCAAAACGGAGGCACGCCAACCAGUCGCUAUCCCAUUCAA
RNAcentral lists this non-coding RNA (145 nucleotides) under Chaetoceros curvisetus. The record is from RNAcentral. Lineage: Eukaryota; Bacillariophyta; Thalassiosirophyceae; Chaetocerotales; Chaetocerotaceae.